RNAcentral lists this ribosomal RNA (492 nucleotides) under uncultured bacterium. RNAcentral's name for it is "bacterial SSU rRNA". It matches the Rfam family "Bacterial small subunit ribosomal RNA", at positions 28 to 526 of the family's 1533-position model. The record is from RNAcentral.
GAUGAACGCUGGCGGCGUGCUUAACACAUGCAAGUCGAACGGACGCUUGUUGAAACCUAGUGAUAUAAGCGUUAGUGGCGGACGGGUGAGUAACGCGUGGAAAACCUGCCGUAUACAGGGGGAUAACACUUAGAAAUAGGUGCUAAUACCGCAUAAGCGCACAGCAACGCAUGUAGCAGUGUGAAAAGAUUUAUCGGUAUACGAUGGUUCCGCGUCUGAUUAGCCAGUUGGCAGGGUAACGGCCUACCAAAGCGACGAUCAGUAGCCGGCCUGAGAGGGUGGACGGCCACAUUGGGACUGAGACACGGCCCAAACUCCUACGGGAGGCAGCAGUGGGGAAUAUUGCACAAUGGGGGGAACCCUGAUGCAGCGACGCCGCGUGAGUGAAGAAGUAAUUCGUUACGUAAAGCUCUAUCAGCAGGGAAGAAAAAGAAAUGACGGUACCUGAUUAAGAAGCCCCGGCUAACUACGUGCCAGCAGCCGCAGUAAUAC